UCCAGACUCCUACGGGAGGCAGCAGUGGGGGAUAUUGCACAAUGGGGGGAACCCUGAUGCAGCGACGCCGCGUGAGUGAAGAAGUAAUUCGUUAUGUAAAGCUCUAUCAGCAGGGAAGAAUAAAUGACGGUACCUGACCAAGAAGCCCCGGCUAACUACGUGCCAGCAGCCGCGGUAAUACGUAGGGGGCAAGCGUUAUCCGGAAUUACUGGGUGUAAAGGGAGCGUAGACGGUGAUGCAAGUCUGGAGUGAAAGGCGGGGGCCCAACCCCCGGACUGCUCUGGAAACUGUGUAACUUGAGUGCAGGAGAGGUAAGCGGAAUUCCUAGUGUAGCGGUGAAAUGCGUAGAUAUUAGGAGGAACACCAGUGGCGAAGGCGGCUUACUGGACUGUAACUGACGUUGAGGCUCGAAAGCGUGGGGAGCAAACAGGAUUAGAUACCCCGGUA
This 447-nucleotide ribosomal RNA is filed under the name uncultured bacterium. RNAcentral's name for it is "bacterial SSU rRNA". It matches the Rfam family "Bacterial small subunit ribosomal RNA", at positions 330 to 792 of the family's 1533-position model. The record is from RNAcentral.